Molecule: unclassified non-coding RNA, 200 nt
Filed under: Sordariales sp.
Lineage: Eukaryota; Fungi; Ascomycota; Sordariomycetes; Sordariales
Description: partial internal transcribed spacer 2
Source: RNAcentral
UUAAGUUCAGCGGGUAUUCCUACCUGAUCCGAGGUCAACCUUGUAAUAUAGGGGGGGGGUUUUACGGCAGGAGCAUCACCAAAAGUCCAUAGCGAGAGAAAUUACUACGCUCGGAUUUCAGUGAGUCCGCCACUAUUUUUCAGGGCUUGCAAUGCAAUGCCCUAGCACCAGACCGAAGCCUGAGGGUUGAAAUGACGCUC